GACAGACUCAAUACAUAGGAAUUUUAAACUCAACUGUUCAAAUUCUCUAGAUUCAUGAAUGGAAAUUGCAAGUUAACUUUUAACAUUAGCGCCUUCCUGACUGCUGCGUUUAAUUCAGCUACUUUUGGAGCCAACAUUGGAUUAACAUGACCUGAUACGCGCUUAACCAGUGCACCCUCUACAUAACGGACUGCAACAGACCAGCCCGCAACAUUCUCCUCACUAAAUAACAUGGCAGUUGUACAAGCCCAAUUUGAACCAGCUCAAACCCAAGACCCAAAACAGACCCAAAGCCCAACUACUAGCCCAAUAACCCAAACACUUUCAGAAAAAAAAACCUAACCCCUAACCCUCUGUCACCACCAACUUUGCCACCACCUGCUCCACCUGUUG
This 393-nucleotide long non-coding RNA is filed under the name Gossypium barbadense (sea-island cotton). Its description in RNAcentral is "long non-coding RNA (GBAR_LNC013726)". Lineage: Eukaryota; Viridiplantae; Streptophyta; Magnoliopsida; Malvales; Malvaceae. The record is from RNAcentral.